CGUCCUCGUCUCCUCGUCUCCGCCCCGACGCCGGUGUCUCGCAUAGCCGCCGCCGUCGCCGCCUUCUUCGUUCGGCCGCCCACAUCUCGUCGCCCCAACCGCUGCUGUUGCCCGUCCCCGGCCUCGUCGAGCUCUCCUCCGACCCUCCCCGUGGCUGAUCUGAGUUGGACCAUCCUCUGCAGCCAACUUCUCUUCGGCAAGAGGAAGAAAGGAGAAUCAGGGUACGGUUUCAUGGCUAGAAGAUAUAUUGCUGUACCCCGAGUGAAGGGAUAUCAUUGCAUACCUGCGCAUAUAUUUCUGUUGUGAGCAUAACUCCAGAAUUUAUUUAUCUGUGAUUCGUAUUGGGUUAAUAAUCUGCAGCUAGUUGUAUUUUUAAUUCACUAGCCUUUUACUUAUACAUGAGAGAAGUGGGAAGCUAAGUCAAUAGGAGCUAAACUCAACCCUUGGCUUGUUACAUGAGCUCAAACUAGUACCUAGUGAGUGUUUCAUGUACUGAACUUGGAUUUCCGGUGUUUUUGUAACAUCCAUGUAAGGUUUCGUUCGGUAUAUUAAAUCCUAUGAAAUUAUCAAAGUGUGUUGUACUAUGUUGGACAGAAUUUUAUGUUUGGACUUGGGUGAAUGUAAACAGACUUAUACUCU
Molecule: non-coding RNA, 639 nt
Organism: Aegilops tauschii subsp. strangulata
Lineage: Eukaryota; Viridiplantae; Streptophyta; Magnoliopsida; Poales; Poaceae
Source: RefSeq, a predicted model, not a curated record